UAAUUGUCUUCAGCUUGGUGUAUCUACAGG
Molecule: non-coding RNA, 30 nt
Filed under: Rattus norvegicus (Norway rat)
Lineage: Eukaryota; Metazoa; Chordata; Mammalia; Rodentia; Muridae
Source: RNAcentral